This is a small nucleolar RNA of Beta vulgaris subsp. vulgaris (sugar beet), 106 nucleotides long. The record is from Rfam. NCBI's taxonomy places the organism in Eukaryota, Viridiplantae, Streptophyta, Magnoliopsida, Caryophyllales, Amaranthaceae.
AUUAAAUGCGAUGAUGAUAAAUGCUUAUUAUACCCAGCUCAUUACGAGGUCUUCUUUGUGGAGAUCAAGGAAUUGACUUAUUUCCAAUAUUUAUCUGAGCAUUGUU